Molecule: ribosomal RNA, 2902 nt
Filed under: Escherichia coli
Lineage: Bacteria; Pseudomonadati; Pseudomonadota; Gammaproteobacteria; Enterobacterales; Enterobacteriaceae
Description: bacterial LSU rRNA
Rfam family: Bacterial large subunit ribosomal RNA
Source: RNAcentral
UUAAGCGACUAAGCGUACACGGUGGAUGCCCUGGCAGUCAGAGGCGAUGAAGGACGUGCUAAUCUGCGAUAAGCGUCGGUGAGGUGAUAUGAACCGUUAUAACCGGCGAUUUCCGAAUGGGGAAACCCAGUGUGUUUCGACACACUAUCAUUAACUGAAUCCAUAGGUUAAUGAGGCGAACCGGGGGAACUGAAACAUCUAAGUACCCCGAGGAAAAGAAAUCAACCGAGAUUCCCCCAGUAGCGGCGAGCGAACGGGGAGGAGCCCAGAGCCUGAAUCAGUGUGUGUGUUAGUGGAAGCGUCUGGAAAGGCGCGCGAUACAGGGUGACAGCCCCGUACACAAAAAUGCACAUAUUGUGAGCUCGAUGAGUAGGGCGGGACACGUGGUAUCCUGUCUGAAUAUGGGGGGACCAUCCUCCAAGGCUAAAUACUCCUGACUGACCGAUAGUGAACCAGUACCGUGAGGGAAAGGCGAAAAGAACCCCGGCGAGGGGAGUGAAAAAGAACCUGAAACCGUGUACGUACAAGCAGUGGGAGCCUCUUAAUGGGGUGACUGCGUACCUUUUGUAUAAUGGGUCAGCGACUUAUAUUCUGUAGCAAGGUUAACCGAAUAGGGGAGCCGAAGGGAAACCGAGUCUUAACUGGGCGUUAAGUUGCAGGGUAUAGACCCGAAACCCGGUGAUCUAGCCAUGGGCAGGUUGAAGGUUGGGUAACACUAACUGGAGGACCGAACCGACUAAUGUUGAAAAAUUAGCGGAUGACUUGUGGCUGGGGGUGAAAGGCCAAUCAAACCGGGAGAUAGCUGGUUCUCCCCGAAAGCUAUUUAGGUAGCGCCUCGUGAAUUCAUCUCCGGGGGUAGAGCACUGUUUCGGCAAGGGGGUCAUCCCGACUUACCAACCCGAUGCAAACUGCGAAUACCGGAGAAUGUUAUCACGGGAGACACACGGCGGGUGCUAACGUCCGUCGUGAAGAGGGAAACAACCCAGACCGCCAGCUAAGGUCCCAAAGUCAUGGUUAAGUGGGAAACGAUGUGGGAAGGCCCAGACAGCCAGGAUGUUGGCUUAGAAGCAGCCAUCAUUUAAAGAAAGCGUAAUAGCUCACUGGUCGAGUCGGCCUGCGCGGAAGAUGUAACGGGGCUAAACCAUGCACCGAAGCUGCGGCAGCGACACUAUGUGUUGUUGGGUAGGGGAGCGUUCUGUAAGCCUGUGAAGGUGGCCUGUGAGGGUUGCUGGAGGUAUCAGAAGUGCGAAUGCUGACAUAAGUAACGAUAAAGCGGGUGAAAAGCCCGCUCGCCGGAAGACCAAGGGUUCCUGUCCAACGUUAAUCGGGGCAGGGUGAGUCGACCCCUAAGGCGAGGCCGAAAGGCGUAGUCGAUGGGAAACAGGUUAAUAUUCCUGUACUUGGUGUUACUGCGAAGGGGGGACGGAGAAGGCUAUGUUGGCCGGGCGACGGUUGUCCCGGUUUAAGCGUGUAGGCUGGUUUUCCAGGCAAAUCCGGAAAACCAAGGCUGAGGCGUGAUGACGAAGCACUACGGUGCUGAAGCGACAAAUGCCCUGCUUCCAGGAAAAGCCUCUAAGCAUCAGGUAACAUCAAAUCGUACCCCAAACCGACACAGGUGGUCAGGUAGAGAAUACCAAGGCGCUUGAGAGAACUCGGGUGAAGGAACUAGGCAAAAUGGUGCCGUAACUUCGGGAGAAGGCACGCUGAUAUGUAGGUGAAGCGACUUGCUCGUGGAGCUGAAAUCAGUCGAAGAUACCAGCUGGCUGCAACUGUUUAUUAAAAACACAGCACUGUGCAAACACGAAAGUGGACGUAUACGGUGUGACGCCUGCCCGGUGCCGGAAGGUUAAUUGAUGGGGUUAGCGGUAACUCGAAGCUCUUGAUCGAAGCCCCGGUAAACGGCGGCCGUAACUAUAACGGUCCUAAGGUAGCGAAAUUCCUUGUCGGGUAAGUUCCGACCUGCACGAAUGGCGUAAUGAUGGCCAGGCUGUCUCCACCCGAGACUCAGUGAAAUUGAACUCGCUGUGAAGAUGCAGUGUACCCGCGGCAAGACGGAAAGACCCCGUGAACCUUUACUAUAGCUUGACACUGAACAUUGAGCCUUGAUGUGUAGGAUAGGUGGGAGGCUUUGAAGUGUGGACGCCAGUCUGCAUGGAGCCGACCUUGAAAUACCACCCUUUAAUGUUUGAUGUUCUAACGUUGGCCCGUAAUCCGGGUUGCGGACAGUGUCUGGUGGGUAGUUUGACUGGGGCGGUCUCCUCCUAAAGAGUAACGGAGGAGCACGAAGGUUGGCUAAUCCUGGUCGGACAUCAGGAGGUUAGUGCAAUGGCAUAAGCCAGCUUGACUGCGAGCGUGACGGCGCGAGCAGGUGCGAAAGCAGGUCAUAGUGAUCCGGUGGUUCUGAAUGGAAGGGCCAUCGCUCAACGGAUAAAAGGUACUCCGGGGAUAACAGGCUGAUACCGCCCAAGAGUUCAUAUCGACGGCGGUGUUUGGCACCUCGAUGUCGGCUCAUCACAUCCUGGGGCUGAAGUAGGUCCCAAGGGUAUGGCUGUUCGCCAUUUAAAGUGGUACGCGAGCUGGGUUUAGAACGUCGUGAGACAGUUCGGUCCCUAUCUGCCGUGGGCGCUGGAGAACUGAGGGGGGCUGCUCCUAGUACGAGAGGACCGGAGUGGACGCAUCACUGGUGUUCGGGUUGUCAUGCCAAUGGCACUGCCCGGUAGCUAAAUGCGGAAGAGAUAAGUGCUGAAAGCAUCUAAGCACGAAACUUGCCCCGAGAUGAGUUCUCCCUGAGACUUAGAGUCUCCUGAAGGAACGUUGAAGACGACGACGUUGAUAGGCCGGGUGUGUAAGCGCAGCGAUGCGUUGAGCUAACCGGUACUAAUGAACCGUGAGGCUUAACCUU